This 482-nucleotide ribosomal RNA is filed under the name uncultured bacterium. Its description in RNAcentral is "partial 16S ribosomal RNA". It matches the Rfam family "Bacterial small subunit ribosomal RNA", at positions 28 to 507 of the family's 1533-position model. The record is from RNAcentral.
GACGAACGCUGGCGGCGUGCUUAACACAUGCAAGUCGAACGCUGAAGCUCAGCUUGCUGGGUGGAUGAGUGGCGAACGGGUGAGUAACACGUGAGUAACCUGCCCUCUUCUUUGGGAUAACGCCCGGAAACGGGUGCUAAUACUGGAUAUUCACUGAUUCUCGCAUGGGGGUUGGUGGAAAGGUUUUUUCUGGUGGGGGAUGGGCUCGCGGCCUAUCAGCUUGUUGGUGGGGUGAUGGCCUACCAAGGCUUUGACGGGUAGCCGGCCUGAGAGGGUGACCGGUCACAUUGGGACUGAGAUACGGACCAGACUCCUACGGGAGGCAGCAGUGGGGAAUAUUGCACAAUGGGCGAAAGCCUGAUGCAGCGACGCCGCGUGAGGGAUGGAGGCCUUCGGGUUGUAAACCUCUUUCGCUCAUGGUCAAGCCGCAGCUUGGGGUUGUGGUGAGGGUAGUGGGUAAAGAAGCGCCGGCUAACUACGUG